This 429-nucleotide ribosomal RNA is filed under the name bacterium. RNAcentral's name for it is "partial 16S ribosomal RNA". It matches the Rfam family "Bacterial small subunit ribosomal RNA", at positions 355 to 776 of the family's 1533-position model. The record is from RNAcentral.
UAGGGAAUCUUCGGCAAUGGGGGCAACCCUGACCGAGCAACGCCGCGUGAGUGAAGAAGGUUUUCGGAUCGUAAAGCUCUGUUGUAAGAGAAGAACGUGUGUGAGAGUGGAAAGUUCACACAGUGACGGUAACUUACCAGAAAGGGACGGCUAACUACGUGCCAGCAGCCGCGGUAAUACGUAGGUCCCGAGCGUUGUCCGGAUUUAUUGGGCGUAAAGCGAGCGCAGGUGGUUUAAUAAGUCUGAAGUUAAAGGCAGUGGCUUAAGCAUUGUUAGCUUUGGAAACUGUUAAACUUGAGUGCAGAAGGGGAGAGUGGAAUUCCAUGUGUAGCGGUGAAAUGCGUGGAUAUAUGGAGGAACACAGGUCGCGAAAGCGGCUCUCUGGUCUGUAACUGACGCUGAGGCUCGAAAGCGUGGGGAGCAAACAGG